AGCCAGACUCCUACGGGAGGCAGCAGUGAGGCCUCUUGGUCAAUGGCCGCCAGUCUGACCCCGCCAUGCCGCGUGCCGGAAGACGGCUCUCUGAGUUGUACCCUGCUUUUGUACGAGGGUCAACGCAGCUCCGUGUAUCUGUCUGAAAGUAUCGUACGAAUAAGGAUCGGCUCACUCCGUGCCAGCAGCCGCGGUAAUACGGAGGAUUCAAGCGUUAUCCGGAUUUAUUGGGUUUAAAGGGUGCGUAGGCGGUCGGAUAAGUGAGAGGUGAAAUCCCGAGGCUCAACUUCGGAAUUGCCUCUGAUACUGUUCGGCUAGAGAGUAGUUGCGGUAGGCGGAAUGUAUGGUGUAGCGGUGAAAUGCUGAGAGAUCAUACAGAACACCGAUUGCGAAGGCAGCUUACCAAGCUACUUCUGACGUUGAGGCACGAAAGCGUGGGGAGCAAACAGGAUUAGAUACCCGCGUAAA
This 468-nucleotide ribosomal RNA is filed under the name uncultured bacterium. RNAcentral's name for it is "bacterial SSU rRNA". It matches the Rfam family "Bacterial small subunit ribosomal RNA", at positions 329 to 794 of the family's 1533-position model. The record is from RNAcentral.